AACCAUAGAAACCUGCGGAGUACCUGCGGAGGGAUCAUUAUAGUAUAUGGAAUCUCCAUUCUAUAAACCCACUCUGCGUACCUUGUAACUGUUGCUUCCAUGGGACUUGGUUCCGCCACACCGGCUUCACGGCUGGUGAGCGCCCAUGGAAGGAGAAACAAAACUCUUCUUUGAAAUGUAGUCAGUCUGAACAAGUUUUUAUAAACGUUAAAACUUUUAACAAUGGAUCUCAGAUCGGAA
RNAcentral lists this unclassified non-coding RNA (240 nucleotides) under soil metagenome. RNAcentral describes it as "partial contains 5.8S ribosomal RNA, internal transcribed spacer 2, and large subunit ribosomal RNA". The record is from RNAcentral.